CCUACGGGUGGCAGCAGUGGGGGAUAUUGCACAAUGGGGGGAACCCUGAUGCAGCGACGCCGCGUGAGCGAAGAAGUACCUCGGUAUGUAAAGCUCUAUCAGCAGGGAAGAAAAUGACGGUACCUGACUAAGAAGCCCCGGCUAAAUACGUGCCAGCAGCCGCGGUAAUACGUAUGGGGCAAGCGUUAUCCGGAUUUACUGGGUGUAAAGGGGGCGUAGGCGGGGUGCCAGGUCUGGUGGGAAAUCCCGGGGCCCAAACCCGGGCCUGCAUUGGAAACUGACGGGCUGGAGUGGCGGAGGGGCAGGCGGAAUGCCUAGUGUAGCGGUGAAAUGCGUAGAUAUUAGGAGGAACACCGGUGGCGAAGGCGGCAUACUGGACGAUGACUGACGCUGAGGCUCGAAAGCGUGGGGAGCAAACAGGAUUAGAUACCCUUGUAGUC
This 440-nucleotide ribosomal RNA is filed under the name uncultured bacterium. RNAcentral describes it as "partial 16S ribosomal RNA". It matches the Rfam family "Bacterial small subunit ribosomal RNA", at positions 338 to 795 of the family's 1533-position model. The record is from RNAcentral.